This is a non-coding RNA of Schistosoma mattheei, 45 nucleotides long. Lineage: Eukaryota; Metazoa; Platyhelminthes; Trematoda; Strigeidida; Schistosomatidae. The record is from Rfam.
ACACAGUUGACGAGUCUCAAAUAGAACGAAACGUGCGUCCUGGAU